Molecule: long non-coding RNA, 2104 nt
Filed under: Triticum aestivum (bread wheat)
Lineage: Eukaryota; Viridiplantae; Streptophyta; Magnoliopsida; Poales; Poaceae
Description: long non-coding RNA (TAES_LNC010582)
Source: RNAcentral
ACUGCUUAGCAUAGAACAAACCAGCUCUCUAUUACAACACGAAUAUGAUUACAAGGGUUCCGAUAUUACAAUGAAUAACACCGGCAUGGCGACACUACGCCAACCACGGUUGCUCUAUACAAGCAGCAUAAUACUUGAAGCAGCGGAGCAACUACUGGCAGCGGAACAACGAACGACGAUGAUGGACUCCAAUCAUCAGGGACUGUGGCUGGAACAUUUAUCCUAGCUCGCGAACACAGGAACAACACCAAACAAGCAAGCAAUCCAGGCACGACCUGCAAGCUGGCAUGACACGCCAGGUCAGUACAUUGAAUGUACUUGCAAGCUCACAAUAACCAGAAGCAUUCAAGACAAACAACAGCAUGGCAGUUACAGGUUAAACAGGAAUUAACAUGAGAUCAUUAUAACAACAUGACAUGAGCACAUGAUAUCCAAAGUAAUACUCCAAAUAAUACCAGAUACCAUCAUGAAAAUAUCCACUAAGAAUCCAAAGGCAAUAUGAACCUGAUACAGCUAGAACAAUAUGAGCAUAGCAUGAACAUAUAAAUCUGACGAUACUAGCAUGCAACAUGAUGACACUAUAUGCACCAAUUAUUCUGCUCGGGUUAUCUCGUAACCAUCACGUGCAUCACUUAUCCACCUCAGACAUUACACGAUCAUCUCAGGAUCAAAUCAAGCUUGGUAUAAAAAAUACCGUAGUAAUCAUUAAAUGACCACAAGGAGCUUGAUCUUUACCCAUGAUUUCUCACACAACAUCACGAAUAUCCAACAACUCGGUAUCCUCGAUACCACGGUGAUCAUUACGUCGAUCACAACCAAAGUAACUCAUGAUCCUUAUGGUGAUCAUCACCAAAGUAACUCGUGAUCCUUACGGCGAUCACCACCAAAGUAACUCGUGAUCCUUACGGUGAUCACCACCAACUUAUUUCAUCAUGGAACCGGGGUUGUCAUUAAUCAAGUUAUUAUUAAUACUGUUGACUCACGGUGGGACCGACACGAACUGGGUCCUUAUCCGCGGGCGCGGCUACCGAUAGAUUUAAUAUACACUUUGCAGAGGUAGCACACUAUACCCACACCACGGAACCCAUGGCCUCACACUCCCAUUCGGGUGGACCAACGGCAUUCCGACAAAACUGAUCUACUGACGUGACACUCUCCCGGCCACUCCGACCCACUCCCAACUGGGCUAGUCCUGGGUGGCCCCGUGUCUACCAAAGACACCCCGACCACCGUCAUGGUCAAAACUCCCUCACGGGGACCGGAUCCAUAAAACUAAAAACAACGGGCACACAAGGUUAUGUCUGCUUACCGGGCCAGGGUACCGCACGCCCGUAACCUUCCCUACUUGGAGGCACCGGCGAGAUGCACGACAAUAGACCUAGUUAGGACCUUACCCAUCCGGUAAGUGUGGUUGCACUGGCCAGUUUCGAUCUGGCGGCACCAUGACUCAACCAACAGUUCUUUAAGUUCAAUUAAAUCCGGUUAAACUUGAAUGCAAAAUGCUGAGCCAUGAUAAAACAACAUGAUGCAAUUACAAUGCAUGAGCAUGAUAUCAACAUAAUCACGGGAUGCAACAUAACUAUCCACCACAUCAACUAUGAAAUAAUCUCCAACUAAACGUGACAUAAUGAGGAGCAUAAAUAUUACAAGUGCAACACUACUCAUAGCAUAACAUGACCAUUAUCAUCAACCAUAAAUAACAUGCAAGAACUCAUCAAUAAUAUCACUGAGUAAUACUUAACCAACUAACAACAACGGAACAAUGCCUAUUAACAGUACUCGGUAACCGACGUUAGUCAUGCACCGAAGAGCAUGACCAACCCAACAUGUACUACUAUCUAGCAUGGAAAUAUGAAAGCAAUACUAGCAACUAGCAGGGCAGGAUAAACAGGUGCAUAACAACAUAACAAACAAGUAAGCACAAUCCCAAAAGCAUUUCCGAAACAAUGAUAACCAUAUUUUAAACAAGCAAUCAUUUAAGAAAUAUUCAAGUUGAAAACAAUGGCUACUGCAUGACUAUCAUGCAAGUGGGUAUUGUGGCUUGCCUGGGGUGACGGAGACUCCAGGAAGAAGUGCGGUGAAGCCGUGGAACGAAACGUCGGAC